UACGUAGGGUGCGAGCGUUAAUCGGAAUUACUGGGCGUAAAGCGUGCGCAGGCGGUUCGUCGUGUCCGAUGUGAAAGCCCCGGGCUCAACCUGGGAAUGGCAUUGGAAACUGGCGGACUCGAGUGUGGCAGAGGGGGGUGGAAUUCCGCGUGUAGCAGUGAAAUGCGUAGAGAUCCGGAAGAACACCGGUGGCGAAGGCGGCCUGCUGGGCAGUUGCUGACACUGAGGCGCGACAGCGUGGGGAGCAAACAGG
RNAcentral lists this ribosomal RNA (253 nucleotides) under uncultured bacterium. RNAcentral describes it as "partial 16S ribosomal RNA". It matches the Rfam family "Bacterial small subunit ribosomal RNA", at positions 524 to 776 of the family's 1533-position model. The record is from RNAcentral.